AUGAAAAAAAACAAUAAAAUCACUACAAAUAAACAAAAACUAUUAGAAACAUAUACAAAUAAGCAACAUACUACAUUAACCCCAUUAAAACAUGAAUGUAACUAUAAUAAUAUUAGGGCCUACGACGAUAAUAAUUUUUAUUUUAAUGACAUUAAACUGAAUGAAACAAAUGACACUUUAUGUAUAAAUAAGAAUUAUGAUAAUAUUAAUAUCAUGCAUAUUAACAGUAAUAAUAUUAAUAAAAAUAAUAACAAUCCGCAAUAUUUGUCAAUACAACAACCAAAUGUAUACAUUUCUAAAAAUAAUUUUGAAUAUAACAAUAAAGAAGUAUGUAAAAUACCUAAUUGUUCUCAAAAUAUAGAAAACAGUAUAUUUAACGAAUCUAAAAAUACAGAAUUUUUUAACCCGAUGUGUGUUAAAAGUUUAUGCGGUUCAAAAUGUACUAAUCCUAACUGCGAGUUGGAAUUUAAAAAUUACAAUCCCAGUUGUAACUGCAAACAAUUAUUAGAAAAAAAUAAUGAACAUUCAGGUAUACAGGUACAAACAAACAAACCACUUUACAAAAAUGCAUAUUUAAAUACUUCUUACAGAUCAAACCACAAUGAUAAUAUAGAAAGAAUAGAAAUAAACAAAAUAGACGAAGCGAGAGAUGAAGAACUAGAAGAAGAAAGAGACAAAAAUAUUAGCGAUUAUAGUAUUAACAAUAAGUAUACGAAAAGUAUCCAUACUUUUGAUAAAAAAAAUAAAUAUGAAAAAAAUCAUAAAAAAAUAAAAGAACAAUUAACUGAUUAUUCAAAUGACAAUUCCAUUAUGAGUAACUCAUACCAAUACAAUUUAAGCAACUCUUCAUUAUUACAAAAUGUAUCGAAUGAUAAAAAUAAUCAAAAAAUUAAAAAAAAAGGUAGUGAUAUGUUAUUAUAUCCAUCUAAUAAGAGUCAUAACUCUAUCGAUUCAUCAAUGACCAUAAUAUAUGAAAAAAAUAAAAACAAUAACUAUAUACAACAUAAUAAUAACAAAAACAACCAUAAAGGUAUUCAUAAUAUUAGUCAUCUUAAGGAUAAUAGCAACGAAUAUAUUAAUAAUAUAGUUUAUUCAAAUGAUACGUAUCAAAUGAAUAAGCAUAAUUCAAAUAUAUACAAAACGGUAAAAAAAACAAUAUACGAUUCUUGUGAAGCAGAAAAAAAAAAAAAUGGACAUAUUUAUUCAAACAGAUAA
This 1215-nucleotide long non-coding RNA is filed under the name Piliocolobus tephrosceles (Ugandan red Colobus). Its description in RNAcentral is "lncRNA (ENSPTEG00000004852.1)". The record is from RNAcentral. Lineage: Eukaryota; Metazoa; Chordata; Mammalia; Primates; Cercopithecidae.